GAGCCUUUAUCAGGGAGCUGGGCCGGUGUUCCUGCCACAUCCUCAGAUCCCCUCCACUCCCUGUUUCUCUGCACGGAGGGAGGCAGCGGCACUACCAGCGCGUGGGGAGUGGGCACUGCUGCCGACCAGCUCCCUGAUCCUGCUAGACCAUCUGCCCUGGGCUCAAAGCUACUCCACAGGCACCAUGAGGAGUGCCCUGCUGUUCGCAGCCAUUCUGGCCAUUAGCCUGGUUCACGGUUUGGGGGCUGUCUGUGAGGACUCACGGGAGCAGGUGGUGCCCGGUGGGGGCCACAACAAGAAGGACUUGGACCUCUACCAGCUGCCUCCAUCUUUGCUCCGGAAACUCUAUGACAGCCGCUCAGUCUCUCUGGAUGGAUUGCUCAAAAUGCUGAGCAAGGCUAGCGUGGAUCCUAAGGAAUUGCCACUUCCCCAGAAACGUGACAUGCACGACUUCUUCGUGGGACUUAUGGGCAAGAGGAACAGCCAGCCAGACACUUCUAUUGAUGUAAACCAAGAGAAUGUCCCCAGCUUUGGCACCCUCAAGUAUCCCCCCAGUGCGGAAUGAGGUGCCAGGAAGAAUAGCACAUAAAGUCCCCGGAGGCUGGCAUUUAAAGGAGAUUAGCACUCCACUUCUGGACUCGUGGGCUGCAUCAUGAAGACACCUGCCCCCCACCUCCCAACCCCCAGCUGCACGUGCUCCAUUUCCCUUUCUUCGCCCCCCACCACCCCCCACCUUGUAACACUCCUGUGCUUUGACUCCUUCCCCAUCCCUCUACCUCACCGUGAUGGAGAAACUGCAGAGUGAGCACCCUCAAUCCUAGUGGGCAUUGACCCUAGAUCCCCUUGGAUAAUGUAAGUGUCCUACAUUUAAAACUAUGACAUCUCUUUCCAUUCCUCAACAAUAAAAGAUUUUCACAUAUGA
RNA transcript from Felis catus (domestic cat), 922 nucleotides. It is a transcript of the gene named tachykinin precursor 3, with no coding region annotated. The record is from RefSeq and is a predicted model, not a curated record. Lineage: Eukaryota; Metazoa; Chordata; Mammalia; Carnivora; Felidae. The transcript has 8 exons.